AGUGAACGCUGGCGGUAGGCCUAACACAUGCAAGUCGAGCGGCAGCACAGUAAGAGCUUGCUCUUACGGGUGGCGAGUGGCGGACGGGUGAGGAAUACAUCGGAAUCUACUUUUUCGUGGGGGAUAACGUAGGGAAACUUACGCUAAUACCGCAUACGACCUACGGGUGGAAGCAGGGGAUCUUCGGACCUUGCGCGAUUGAAUGAGCCGAUGUCGGAUUAGCUAGUUGGCGGGGUAAAGGCCCACCAAGGCGACGAUCCGUAGCUGGUCUGAGAGGAUGAUCAGCCACACUGGAACUGAGACACGGUCCAGACUCCUACGGGAGGCAGCAGUGGGGAAUAUUGGACAAUGGGCGCAAGCCUGAUCCAGCCAUACCGCGUGGGUGAAGAAGGCCUUCGGGUUGUAAAGCCCUUUUGUUGGGAAAGAAAAGCAGCAGGUUAAUACCCCGCUGUUCUGACGGUACCCAAAGAAUAAGCACCGGCUAACUUCGUG
This 492-nucleotide ribosomal RNA is filed under the name uncultured bacterium. RNAcentral's name for it is "partial 16S ribosomal RNA". It matches the Rfam family "Bacterial small subunit ribosomal RNA", at positions 29 to 507 of the family's 1533-position model. The record is from RNAcentral.